RNAcentral lists this unclassified non-coding RNA (330 nucleotides) under uncultured fungus. RNAcentral's name for it is "partial contains 5.8S ribosomal RNA and internal transcribed spacer 2". The stretch from base 1 to 133 matches the Rfam family "5.8S ribosomal RNA", at positions 22 to 154 of the family's 154-position model. Lineage: Eukaryota; Fungi. The record is from RNAcentral.
UGGCUCUGGCAUCGAUGAAGAACGCAGCGAAAUGCGAUAAGUAGUGUGAAUUGCAGAUCUCCGUGAAUCAUCGAAUCUUUGAACGCACAUUGCGCCCUUUGGUAUUCCUUAGGGCAUGCCUGUUCGAGCGUCGUUUCAAUGUUCAAGCUUUGCUUGCUGUUGGGUGUCUGUCUCAGCCGUCUUCGGUAGGACUCGCCUUAAAAUCAUCAGCGUCCGUACGGUUUAGCUAAGAGCGCAGCAGAUUACAGCGCCUCGAAGCCUAGCGUACCGCCCGCUGCGAAACGUUCUACUCAAAUUUUUGACCUCGAAUCAGGUAGGGAUACCCGCUGA